CCUCCAUCUGCAUUAUGCUAGCUUAAAUCAGCACCACCAGCCAAAAUAAACAAUCAGCUGCCUUGGAAAUUUACACUGUGAGAUCUUUCUUUGUUUGUUGACAUAAAUGCGCUAGGUGACAUGAACUUCAAAGGUCAGAAAGUCACAAGAGGAACAUUUGAGAAAAUAAUUCAUUGAACAAGUUCAAUUUGCAUGUCUGAUGUCUCAUUGUCAGUCUACAAGCCUUAAGUUCACAUUCCCAUAACUUGAUCCUCUACUGUACCAUAUCUCUUGCAGCCUUCAAGGAAACUACGCCAU
Molecule: unclassified non-coding RNA, 297 nt
Filed under: Hevea brasiliensis (rubber tree)
Lineage: Eukaryota; Viridiplantae; Streptophyta; Magnoliopsida; Malpighiales; Euphorbiaceae
Source: RNAcentral